UUUCGACAUCAUUCAUUUUGGUAAUAAUAGUCACCGCAUAGUGCCCCACCUACAUUCAUAAGAUAAGGAGUGAGUAAAAAAAAAGAAAAGAAAAAGAGAAAUAGAAACAAAUUCACCUUCACAAAAGCAGAGAUCAUCUACCUCUACUGCUUCACACUAUCUUCUUUUUCGGUCUUCUCCAGACCAUCAUUGAGGAGCAUACCUGUAAAAGCACGGUUGCAGUUUUUCCAACUAUCGAAAAUCUCCUUGGUGGCUGAUGAACCCUGACCUUAUUCCUGAUCCAUCAAUUCUCUAGCAGAAUCCAACUCUGCUAAUACCGAGCC
This 323-nucleotide long non-coding RNA is filed under the name Elaeis guineensis (African oil palm). RNAcentral describes it as "long non-coding RNA (EGUI_LNC018317)". Lineage: Eukaryota; Viridiplantae; Streptophyta; Magnoliopsida; Arecales; Arecaceae. The record is from RNAcentral.